Molecule: RNase P RNA, 341 nt
Filed under: human gut metagenome
Also listed under: 1 other name
Description: Bacterial RNase P class B
Rfam family: Bacterial RNase P class B
About the family: Ribonuclease P (RNase P) is a ubiquitous endoribonuclease, found in archaea, bacteria and eukarya as well as chloroplasts and mitochondria. Its best characterised activity is the generation of mature 5'-ends of tRNAs by cleaving the 5'-leader elements of precursor-tRNAs.
Source: RNAcentral
UCGGACAAAUGCUGCAUAAAUUUGUUAUGUAGAGGAAAGUCCAUGCUCACACAGACCUGUGAUGGCUGUAGCCUUCGUGCUUAGGGAAAAAAUAACCUAAGGUAGCAUAUGCUAACGGCAGGAGAAAUUUCUAAAAGUUUUACUCAUGAAAAAGUAUCCUUGAAAGUGCCAUAGUAACGUACAAACUGGAAACGGUGGAAAUGGAACGCGGUAAACCCCACGAGUGAGAAAUCCAAAAUUUGGUAGGAGAGCUCUUACAAAAGAACAAGAAUGGCGUAAGGGUCUAGUUUUUGCUAGAAGAUAAAUAUUUGUCGCCCGUAAGGGAACAGAACAUGGCUUAU